AAACUGCGAUAAGUAGUGUGAAUUGCAUUUAGUGAAUCAUCGAAUCUUUGAACGCACCCUGCACUCACUGGUAUUCCGGUGAGUACGCCUGUUUCAGUAUCAUUGAAAACACACAAUCAAAACAUUUUCUUUGGUUUGAUUGGCUUCGGGUCUAUCAAAAAGUUUGGCUUGUUUCUUACAAGCCAAGCGGCCUGAAAUAUAUUGUCUGGCUAAUUGCAUCGUUGAUGAUCGCUAUUAGACUUUGGCUUUUUUAAAUGAACUGGAGGUUGAUUAACCAGUUUUAGCUUUAGUCAAAUGGUCAUUGUAAAAAAAAUCUCGAUCUUGGCUAGGUGUUUAUAGCCGAAAAUUUUUUUUUGGCUAUAACCGAAACCAAUAUAAUCACAUUUAGUUAUCGAUCUGAAAUCAGGUGGGACUACCCGCUGAACUUAAGC
Molecule: unclassified non-coding RNA, 431 nt
Filed under: plant metagenome
Description: partial contains 5.8S ribosomal RNA, internal transcribed spacer 2, and large subunit ribosomal RNA
Rfam family: 5.8S ribosomal RNA (bases 1-102)
Source: RNAcentral